Molecule: long non-coding RNA, 1546 nt
Organism: Orcinus orca (killer whale)
Lineage: Eukaryota; Metazoa; Chordata; Mammalia; Artiodactyla; Delphinidae
Exons: 4
Source: RefSeq, a predicted model, not a curated record
ACUGAAGAGAGAGUAUCUGUGGAGAGGAGAACUUGGCAGUGCAGGAGAAAGGGGUUAAACGAUGGAGUGAGGUCACUGAGGAAGUGGGAAGGAAUGUGUCCCAAGAGGGAGGCAUCAGCCUUGGGCCCUAGGAGGACACCUCCCCUGUAACGACAGCCUAUGGUUGUUUCUAGGAGCUGGAGAUGUUGUUGCUGUUGGGAGUAAAGGGGUUGAAAGAAUUCUUGCCUCUUUUCUCCAUAAAAUAGGAGCAGUGAUCAUCUCAUAAAGACUGAUCAUAUCAGUUUGCGGCCUGGAAUUAUAAACGGAAGCCCCCAGAACUCCAAUCUGAAGUCUCACCCGUGGGGUGUAUGAACCGCCCGGGACCCUUCCCAACUGGGGCUCCAGAUCGCUGUCACUUGGGACUUCCCAGCUGUUACUUGGAUCUGGAAGUAGAUCUAGAGGCUCCAUUAGAUUCUGGCUGGUGAUGAUGACGAUGAUGAUGGUGAUGAUUUUGGCAAGAAUACUGCAAAGGUAAUCAUGGAGAUUUGAACAUAAAUUGGGAAUUAGAUGAUGUGAAGAAAUUAUUGCUAGGGACUUCCCUCGUGGUCCAGUGGUUAAGAAUCCACCUUCCAGUGCAGGGGACGCGGGUUCAUUACCUAGUUGGGGAACUAGAUCCCACAUGCCGCAGGGUAACUAAGCCCACACACCGCAAAUACUGAGCAUGCACACCACAACUAGAGAGAAGCCCGCGCACCGCAACGAAAGAUCCCGCAUGCCGCAAGGAAGAUCCCAUGUGCCGCCACUAAGACCCGACGCAGCCAAAAAUAAAUAAAUAUUUUUUUUAAAAAUAAGAGAGCUUCCCUGGUGGCGCAGUGGUUAGGAAUCCACCUGCCAACGCAGGGGACACGGGUUUGAGUCCUGGUCGGGGAAGAACCCACAUACUGCGGAGCAACUGGGCCCGUGCGCCACAACUACUGAAGCCCCCACGCCUGGAGCCCGUGCUCCACAACAAGAGAAGCCACAGCUGAGAAGCCCGCGCACCGCAACGAAGAGUGGCCCCCGCUCGCCACAACCAGAGGAGGCCCACGUGCAGCAACAAACACACAACGCAGCCAAAAAAAACAAAUAUUAAAAAAUUUAAAAAAAAAGAAAUUAUUGCUAAACAUUUUAGGUAUAAUUAUGUAUUACAUAGUGGUAUUGUGCUUGGGUAAAAUAAAAAUCCUUAUCUGACAUACAAUAACAUGGAUUAAUUUCAAAACAUUAUGCUGAGUGGAAAAAGACAGACCCAUACUGUAUGAUUUCAUUUGUAUGGAACAUUCUAGAGCAGGCAAAACUAAUCUAUACUGACAGAAAGCAGGUCAGUGGUUGCCGGGGUCUGAGGGUGGAAACUGAUUGUAGAAGGGUGUGAACUUUUAGGAGUGAUGGAAAUAUUUUAUAUCUUGAUUAUGGUGGUAAUUACUUGGGUAUAUACAUUUGUCCAAACUAAUUGAACCAUGCACUUAAAUUGAGUGUGCUAUAUUGUAUGGGAAUAAAGAUGUAUUUUAUUGUAUGUAAAUAAAGUUGAUUU